Molecule: ribosomal RNA, 421 nt
Filed under: uncultured bacterium
Lineage: Bacteria
Description: partial 16S ribosomal RNA
Rfam family: Bacterial small subunit ribosomal RNA
Source: RNAcentral
AAUUUUGGACAAUGGGCGAAAGCCUGAUCCAGCCAUUCCGCGUGAGUGAAGAAGGCCUUCGGGUUGUAAAGCUCUUUCGCAAGGGAAGAAAACUUACAUUCUAAUAAAGUGUGAGGCUGACGGUACCUUGAUAAGAAGCACCGGCUAACUACGUGCCAGCAGCCGCGGUAAUACGUAGGGUGCGAGCGUUAAUCGGAAUUACUGGGCGUAAAGCGUGCGCAGGCGGUUUGGCAAGUCAGAUGUGAAAUCCCCGAGCUCAACUUGGGAACUGCGUUUGAAACUGCCAGACUAGAAUAUGUCAGAGGGGGGUAGAAUUCCACGUGUAGCAGUGAAAUGCGUAGAGAUGUGGAGGAAUACCAAUGGCGAAGGCAGCCCCCUGGGAUAAUAUUGACGCUCAUGCACGAAAGCGUGGGGAGCAAAC